AUUGAACGCUGGCGGCAUGCUUUACACAUGCAAGUCGAACGGCAACGCGGAGAAGCUUGCUUCUCUGUCGGCGAGUGGCGAACGGGUGAGUAUAGCAUCGGAACGUGCCAAGUAGUGGGGGAUAACCAAACGAAAGUUUGGCUAAUACCGCGUAAGCUCCAAGGAGGAAAGUAGGGGACCUAAAUAAGGCCUUACGCUAUUUGAUCGGCCGAUGUCGGAUUAGCUAGUUGGUGGGGUAAUGGCUCACCAAGGCAAUGAUCCGUAGCGGGUCUGAGAGGACGAUCAGCCACACUGGGACUGAGACACGGCCCAGACUCCUACGGGAGGCAGCAGUGGGGAAUUUUGGACAAUGGGGGAAACCCUGAUCCAGCCAUGCCGCGUGUAUGAAGAAGGCCUUAGGGUUGUAAAGUACUUUUGUUAGGGAAGAAAAGCUAGUUUUUAAUAAAAAUUAGUGAUGACGGUACCUAAAGAAUAAGCACCGGCUAACUACGUG
This 493-nucleotide ribosomal RNA is filed under the name uncultured bacterium. RNAcentral describes it as "partial 16S ribosomal RNA". It matches the Rfam family "Bacterial small subunit ribosomal RNA", at positions 30 to 507 of the family's 1533-position model. The record is from RNAcentral.